This 6708-nucleotide long non-coding RNA is filed under the name Marmota monax (woodchuck). The record is from RNAcentral. Lineage: Eukaryota; Metazoa; Chordata; Mammalia; Rodentia; Sciuridae.
UUUAUAAAAGGUACCCGCCCCAGGCCCCGCCGCAGGUCCGCGCUCGCGUGGGCCCGGGUUCACUGGGGCACGGCUUCUGCGCAGUGUCUGCACCAGGGUACCGGCCCAGGCCCUGUGCGUACCAUUGCGAGGCACCUGACCCGGAACAACCUUCUUGCUUCCUGCGUGAGUUCCCUCCAAAACGGACUGGAAUCCACCCUGUCCCACCUCCUCUGCGGUGAGUGUGGCGCAGUCACUUGCCUCCAGCUUCCAAACCUUCCUCCUGCAUUUUCCACCUUCCAAGCCUUUGCCCACGCUGUUGCCCACUGCACUGUGCCAGGCCUUUCUUCCCUCCGUGCAGAUUGGAUGCUCUCUCCUUUAAAACACCCGCGGGGAGAGGAAAGAACACCGGGAUCCGAGUCUUAAGACUUGUGCUCCAGAGUAUUGGGCUGCUGGGUGACUUUAGGCAAGUCCUUAACCUCUCUGAACUGAAGGCUCCUCCUCUGUGAAAGGGUGGUGGUAAUGCCUACCUCACCAGCCUUCUUGGUAUCAUCUGGGAGUCAGUGUUCAACAAAUAAGUGCCAAAGAACCUUUAUACUCUAAGGCAAGUUUUGAAGGAAGGGUAAUUACUGCUUUCUUCUUUUAAACUUAUUUUUCAUUUUUUUCCAGCACUGGGGAUUGAAACCAGGGGAUUGCACAAGCUUUGAGUCAGAUCUCUCUUCCUAAACCUGGUGGGUGGGACCUUUUGUUCCUUAGAUUUUUGUCCCUCUUUUACUUCCACCGGUGCUUUUUGUCUGAUGUUACUUUAGCUACACCAGCUCUAUCUUGAUCUUUAUUUGCUUGGUAUAACUUUUCAUACUUGUGGCCAUCCUGGCUUCAUAUAUUGUAGAUGUGUCAGUUGUAAACACAAUAUAUCUGGAAUUGUUUUAAAAAUCUGAGCUGACAUUACUGUGUUUUAAGCAGAAAGUUUAAUUCAUAUACAAAUGUAUGAUUAGGACUUAUUAAUUUAUUUGGUGCUGGGGUUGAACCUAAGGGAUGCUUUACCACUGAGUCACAUCUCCAGCCCUUUUUAUUAUUUUAAGCCAGGGCCUAAGUUGCUGAGGUUGACCUUGAACUUGCAACCGCCUACCUCAGCCUCCUGAGUCACUAGGAUCACAGGCACGCACCACCCAGGGCAGAUUCGACUCUUUUAUUUUAUUGUGCUUGCCAGUGGUCAAAUUUCUUUUUUUUUUUUUUGGCAUUUUUAAGAAGUGAUCAAGGUUUUCUUUUUUUCUUCUGUUUCCCCCCCACUACCAUUACUGGGCUUGGAAACUGAGUUGAGAGAAAACCUGAAUAAACUCUCUAGAUGUCACCUGCUCUAAGUUACUUGCUUUGAGUUGACUGCAGAUGUGUGGGUCAGGAUGGUGACAGUUGAUCCCCUCUAGCUGCUUUACCUGUUCUUGAUUAACCUCGAGUCACUUUCCCCAUGCUUCAGCCCAUGAAGAUCCCCCGCCCCAGCCUUGGGCAGCCAGAGUGAGAUCCCGUCCCCGUCUCCACAUGCUUGGCUGCCUCCCGACUCUGCUUUUCCAUAAAACUCCUGGCUUCAGGGAUUGGCAUCCUCCGUGGCGGGCAAAGUGAGCCUGGUUUGGCAACAACUGCACCUCCCCCAACCCUGCACCCCACAGCUCCUCCAAAGCCUUCCUCAGGCCCCUUCAUCACUGUGUUGGCGUUCGAGCAGGGAAGGAACCGUGUCCUUAUGAACAGCGUCCCAUGCCGAUGGCUGCAAAUGGGGGUUUUCUUUUCAUUCUCUUUGGAGGUUUUUGGCUCCCUGAAUCUUGAGCUUUGCCCUCUCCCCUUUGAAAACGUUCUGUCGUUCUCUCUGAACGCUGCUCCCCUCCCUCAACUCCUCAGGAACCAGCACCGCGUCUCUGUGUCUCUCCCUCCAGCCAGUUUCUUGACCUCUCUUUCAUUCAUUCCGUCUCUGGGUGGAGUCCUCACAUCUUUCAGGCCCCCGAUUCUCUCCUCAGGUGUCGUCUAUUCUAUGAAGGAACCUAGCCAUUGAGUUUCUGAUUUCGAUCGUUUUCCAUUUUUAAAGUUCUGUUCCCUUCUUUUAAAAUUCCACCGGCUUCCCAAGCUCCAUAUCACCACCGUCCAGCUCUGGGAGCAAGGCUCCUCUUUCUGGGCCUGUCCCCAGUUUCCAUGUUGUGGGCCGGGGAGCCACAGGUUCCCUGGCAGCAAGGAGGGUGCUGUCAUAUUGGCUCUUUUACAUUCUGGAUAAUAGGUAUUCUUCUGAAGAAAGUUUGAAAUAAAACAGAUUUAAAAGAAAUUUAAAUUAUUUUUUAGGUGAUAAACUUUAUAUGUGGUGCUGAGACUCAAACCCAGUGCCUCACACGUGCUGGGCAAAUGCUCCACCACUGAGCCACAACCCCAGCCCUAUAAAACAUUUUUUAAGUCACUGAUCUCAGAGCUCUAAGCUCUCCUCAAGCUCAAACCUGUGAUUCUGAGUUUUGAUUUGGAUGUUUUAUGACAACCCAUAGAUUCUGCAGAGUCUCUGGACUACGGCUGUGCCCACACCACCAAGCACCUGGAGACCUGGACCUCAGAGCUCUGCAUUGGCCAGUGAGGAUAACCUCUGUUUUGCUUCCUGAAAAUAUCCCUCUCUUCUGAAAGCUUGUAGAAAACACUCAAUAAAUGUUUGUAAACUCAUAAUAAAUGAAUAGAUGUUUGGAUAAGCAGACAGACUGGUCACCCCCUUCCUCACUCUGAAUAAUUGCAUGGUCAUACAGGCAAUGAGAUGGACAUUUAUUAAACAUUUAUACACCACUUUCAAGCCUCCCUAAUCCCUGAGUUAUGCAUUUUUUUCUAUCAGGAAACUAAGGCACAGUGAGGUUCAGAGACUGUCAUCUCUUAUGUAGCUGGUCCCAGGGUUCAUUUGGGAUUUAAAUCAAGGCUACAAGCUCUAGAGCCAGUUUGGAGACAGGCUGCGAGAGCUGGGACUUCUGAGCCAUUCUGGAGACUCUGGAGACAGGCCGGUGGUGAGGCCUGUCCAACAGGGACAGGCAGGGACCUGCUCGGAAGCAGUUUCUCUGGCUUCAUCCUGUGGUCGGCUCCACUUUAUGAAAACAAGAUGAUGUCCAAACCGGACAAGUGACUUCAGCUCUCCAGGAGUGCAUGUCACCUCUGUGUUGCUGUGACCGACCAAAGUGCUUGGUGGGAGCAACCCAGAGGAGGAAGUCUGUUUUGUGCCCAGGGUCUAGGUCCUUGGUUGGCUGACUCCACUGCUCUGGGCCCAAGGUGAGGCAGAACAUCCGGGUCGGGGGAAGGGAUGGCAGAGAGAAGCCGCUCAGCUCACCGCAGCUGGGAAGCAGAGGGAGGGGGAGGAGCCAGGGGCAAGACAUAUCCCCAAGGCAUGCCCCAGUGGCCUGCAGGUACCUCGCAGUGUGCAUCCUAACCAUUCCUCCAUCGCAGGGGUCAAGCUACAGCUCUCAUGACCUAACCACCUCGCCCUGACCGUGCCUGCAGUGCAAGCGCUUUCAGGAGACCUCUUAGAGCCAGAAGACCAGCCAGAGGCGAGAGGUGACCAGAGGCUAGAGGAGUUUCCUUCCUGUGGCUGACGCUGCUAGAAUGGCGGACACGGGCUGGGGUUGUGGUUCACGAGACAGCCCGGCCUCGUAGGCAGAAAGACCUGGGUUCCACCCCAGCACCUGAACAAACAAAAAUUCCAGAGUUGCCCCCGCCCCCAGGGCUGCCCUUGGCAUGACUGAGAGAGCCCAGCUCCUGGCCCUUACCUCGGCUGGCUUCUGGGGAACCCCUCCUGAGACAGCAGGCCUCCUCGGGCCCUUCCCCCAGAGAGUGGGUCAAACUUGGGGGAUGGGGACAAGGAACUGUGGUCUGUCAUGUACUGUCCCCUCUACUGCGCACAGGCUCUGCAUGGGCUGCUCCUGCUGCCCAGCCAGGCCGUGCCUCCCUCUCAUUCCCAUGAAAGCCUGACCCACUCCUGUCAGAGAGCAUGGACCCUGCAGGCCUUCCUGGUCCAGGGACCCACGAGAGAAGAGGAAAGGACUGGCCUCUGAGUUCCAUUCCUCUCGGCCACAGCGCCCUCCCCCAGGCCACUGCAGUCAUGAAGCUGACAUGUGUCUUCUAGCUCAUCUUUUUACCCCUUUCUGCGUGCACACCCAAGAGCGAAACGGGCGUGCCGUGGUGUUUCAGGGGUACACCAGCGCUCUCCUGUUGCACCCGCCUUCUGCAGUCUGUUCACAUCUGGGAGCAGCGGUGGCACGUGGUCAGGUUCGUUCACUGUAACUGCCAGGUGGUGUCCCAGGCGGUGAGUGGACCGUGGCCGAUCCGCUGUCUCCUGACGCGCUCUUUCCAGGCUUUCAUAGCCGUGGCCACCCAUUGUCCCCGGGCCCCAAGCAGCCUCCCCCAUCUGCCCAGAGGGCUCCUCCUUUCAGGGCUCCUGCCUCAGCCUGGAUCCUCCUGAUGACUCUAAGCAUGCCUUCCCUGGAGAGCAGGCACCAGGGCCCCACUGUGGGCCCAAGCCCUUGCCGGGUAGAGCUGCGCCCCUCCAGAAGCCCAGGAACCUGGGCCCAGGGGACAGAAGAGCAAGCUCUUAAUGGCCUCAAGUGAGGUGAGCCCUGGCACCCAAGGAGCUCUUGGACAUGAGUCAGUCUGUGGCCAGGACACAGGGGCUGCAGGACAAGGCCACCCCUUGCCUCCAGACCCAACAGUACCACUGGCUCAGGGAGCAGCUCACUGUGGACAGCGUGCUGUCACGCAGGCAUCCUGCCUGGGCCGCUCACUUUACCUGAACAUCACAGUUGGCUCUGGACAGGCAAGAUCAGCCCUUCCUGGGAGACACUGAAGGUACUAAGUGGCAGAGGAGGGUUCGAGCCAACGCCAAGUCCCCUGAUCCAGGUCCUGUGCACUGCCCAGCGCCUUCUCAGCUGUGGCCUUGGCCGGGCCGAGCCAAGCCGGGCUCUACCGGGUGUUCAAGGAGAAACCGCCCAGCACAGCCAGGAGAUUAAGAGUGGCACAAGAUGCAGCCUGGCCACGGACGUCCUCAGAUCUCCAUGCCUUGCUCUGCAGGCUGUGGUGGCUGCUGGGCGCUGCAGACACCUCCUGCCUCUAGGCCCGAGGCCCCGCAUCAAGUGACCUGAGCACAGGACCUCAGUGCCACGCUGGAUGAGGUCCGGAGCUGGGAGCGACCUGAAGUGCUCAGCAUUCUGCAGAAGGAUGACACAGACUUGGGGAGGCCUGGGGAGGUGGCCAUCACUGGUCCUGAGAGGCCUGACCCAGCCACACCCAGGAGUGACGUGCCCCAGGGUCUGCGUGGCACAGUGGGAGGCAGAGAAAGCCAGGGUUCCAGCCUAGGGACGAGGGAGACUUGAGGGGAGGGGAGGCCUUGGAGGUUAGGACAGGUGUGUUCAUGGGCUGGAAGCCACGGGGGCUCCUGGCCUCUCAGGGCACUUGAUUCCAGCAGCCCCUGGGACAGGGACCAGGAGACACAUUCCAUGUGAGGCCCAAGGAAGGGAGUCCAAGGAAGGGAGGUUGGGGACCAGGAUGUCCCGGGCACCAGGAAGGUGCUGCAGCAGGGCUGGCACGGGGGCUGCUUCAGUACCCUCGGGUGGCUUGACCUCUGCCCUCUGGGACUGCAAAGGGGUCCGCAGGUGGCUCUGGGGAGUCAAUUGUCUGAUAGGCACUAUGUUCCUGAGAAUGUCCAAGGAAAUCUGGGGGCGGGGGGUGGUGGCAGGAAAGAAAAAAAACAAGAGUGAGAAACUGGGAGACGUUCUGUUGAUCCCAAACCAAGAUCCAUCCCCCGUCCAAGGCCAGGGCUGGGCAUCCUGAUGCCAGGGAGAGUGGACAGUGGCAGCACCUAUAAGCCUCUAGCAUGCCCCGGAGCAGGUGUGUUCACGGCCUCACUUUGCCGAGGAAGCAGUCAAAGACUUGCCUGAAGUCAUUCAGCUCUACAUCCCCGACGCUGGGCCCUGGGGCCAGCGCUCCGUCUCCAGGGCACACGCUUCCCAGAGCAGCACAUGCUCAGGAAUCUGAGGGACACCCAGCCUGGACCCAUGGACUUCUUUCCAGUUCCUCUCCCAGGCACAGGGACACCACAUCCCCGUACCCCGGCGGCUCUGGAACUGGCGCUAUUGCCGCACCCAGAAAACCAGAGCUGGAGGCACCAGGCAGGGCAGCAGCCUCCGAGAGCCCCGCACGCCUCACUCCCACCCCCUCUGCACGUCUGUCCUGGGCGUUCAAGCACGUCCUAAAGGCUGGGGGCCUUGGUCUCCUUGUCUAUCUCCUGGGGCAGGGCUGGGCGGUGCUGAGGUCAGUGAGGACCAUUCCUACACUUGCCCAGCGCUCCCCGGGCCACCUGCACCUCUUCCCAAAGCAAAGAUGGAAGCCCCCGCCCCGCCUCCACCCAGAGUGCAAAAGGAGGUGUCAGAGGGAACAGGAAAAUGGCUCAGCCCCCAUGGAAGAGGGGGGGAAAGGGUUUCUGGAGGGUGGGGCUGGGCAGGAGGCGAGAUGGCUGCCCACAGGAAGUGACUGCCAUUUGGCGCUGGCUUCCCCCAGGUCCCAGCAACCCUAGCUCUCCCCGGACACCUCGAACUAUCCAUCAGAGAGACCCGCAUGUCAGGACAGCAGGGCUGCCGGGCACAGGGGAGGGGCUCUGGAAAGUGGCUCACACCUUGCCUUGCCGGUGCUCUGCACCAAGGGAAGGCCAGCCUGAGGCUGCUGCCCCCGACCUGUCUC